AUGGUUCCACGAGCUCGCGGACGGAGCUGCAGCGUGAGAGGAGAACCAGGGCUCGGGCAUAGGGACUUGGCGAGGCGGCGGCUUCCUGAGGCGGAUGAAGGAGGAAGUAGACGGACGACCAUGGCAGCGCUAGUCGCCAGCCUCAGGCCGCGUGACCCGUGGGCAGGCAGCGAGGGCGAGGAAGGCAGCACGCUCGGGGAAGGGCCGUCACGGGCGACGGUAGUGGCAUGGGACGCGCGGCAGCGAGGUUUCAUGGUCAUGGGGAUUGGGAUCCGCCCCCUGGUCGCGCUGAGAAGGUGA
This 300-nucleotide ribosomal RNA is filed under the name Triticum aestivum (bread wheat). Its description in RNAcentral is "partial small subunit ribosomal RNA". Lineage: Eukaryota; Viridiplantae; Streptophyta; Magnoliopsida; Poales; Poaceae. The record is from RNAcentral.